AGCUAAUACUUGCUUUAGCACUCUUGAUUAAGUUCUUGAGUGUGUACUUGUUAAGCCUUUUAAGAAAAAAGUUAUUAACUUAAGGAAUUAUAACAAAGAAGUAACACGUAAUGGAUCCGUCCAUUUUUAGUGUGUAUCAAUCGAGUUUCUGACCUAUCAGCUUUUGAUGUUAGGGUAUUGGCCUAACAUGGCUAUGACGGGUAACGGGGAAUUAGAGUUCGAUUCCGGAGAGGGGGCCUGAGAAAUAGCUACCACAUCUAAGGAAGGCAGCAGGCGCGUAAAUUACCCAAUUCUAAAGAAGAGAGGUAGUGACAAGAAAUAACAAUACAAGGCCAAUCUGGCUUUGUAAUUGGAAUGAUGGGAAUUUAAAACCUUCCCAAAACUCAAUUGGAGGGCAAGUCUGGUGCCAGCAGCCGCGGUAAUUCCAGCUCCAAUAGCGUAUAUUAAAAUUGUUGCAGUUAAAACGCUCGUAGUUGAAUUUCAAAGAAUCGAUAUUUUAAGUAACGCUUUUAGCUUAAUCCACAUAACUGAUACUACGUAUCGACUUUGUGCGCAUUUUGCUAUUAUGUGUUCUUUUAAUUAAAAUGAUUCUUUUUAAGAUCUUUCUUUUGCUUCGGCAUUUGAAGACCUUGUUACUUUGAGUAAAUUAGAGUGUUCAAAGCAAACAGAUAUAGCAUUGCGCGUUUGAAUACUACAGCAUGGAAUAACAAAACUGAACAAGUCAGAAUUUUGUUCUUUUUUCUUAUUUUGGCUUAGUUACGAUUAAUAGGAGUAGCUUGGGGGCAUUUGUAUUCAGAUGUCAGAGGUGAAAUUCUUAGAUUUUCUGGAGACAAACAACUGCGAAAGCAUUUGCCUAAAAUACUUCCAUUAAUCAAGAACGAAAGUUAAGGGAGUGAAGACGAUCAGAUACCGUCGUAAUCUUAACCAUAAACUAUGCCGACUAGGCUUUGGAUGAAAGAUUUUAAAAUAAGA
This 972-nucleotide ribosomal RNA is filed under the name Plasmodium cynomolgi. RNAcentral's name for it is "SSU rRNA". It matches the Rfam family "Eukaryotic small subunit ribosomal RNA", at positions 162 to 1077 of the family's 1831-position model. The record is from RNAcentral. Lineage: Eukaryota; Apicomplexa; Aconoidasida; Haemosporida; Plasmodiidae.